GCCUGGGUGGCUCAGUGGUUGAGCGUCUGCCUUUGGUGCAGGUCAUGAUUCCGGGGUCCUGGGAUCGAGUCCCACAACAGGCU
Molecule: transfer RNA, 83 nt
Filed under: Canis lupus familiaris (dog)
Lineage: Eukaryota; Metazoa; Chordata; Mammalia; Carnivora; Canidae
Rfam family: tRNA
About the family: Transfer RNA (tRNA) molecules are approximately 80 nucleotides in length.
Source: Rfam by way of RNAcentral